GCACUACAUCCUCGGUCCUAAGCUCCUGUUGCCAAAUAGCACAAUCUGACGACCACAACCGGUGCACGUGGGUCUUCCCGUCUCUGACGUGUACACCAAUCCACCGUUUAAUUGUCGGCACAUUAGCCAAGAAAACAAUAAAUAAACACGCGUGGAACAAACCAGGCCGACCCCACACGGAUCCCUAAGACGGUCAACAUUUUCCUUGUUUUUAAUAUUUUUCAAAAUUUUCUGCUCCGACCGACUGGUUAGUGGUUAUUCUCUGUGCACGGCAGAGUCCAAAAUACGUGUCGUAAGCAGUGACAAAAUCAUUUCCUUGUGGAGUAUCAGCACGCAGGCACCCCCACUUGAGUUCUGCCACGUGUCCCGGCUGCUUUCAUGGAAAAAAAAACUCCUAUAAUGGAAAACGUUAUCACCCACGUGUAUUCUAGAAAUCACGCCCGCCUUGUGUCAUCCGCCUUUCCUCUCUAUAAAUUCGUGACUUUCUUUUGGGUUCUGAGUUUCAAGCGCCGUCACAGCAUUGCACCUCAAAGAGAGAGCGCGCGAGUGAGAGAGAAGAUUGAAUAUUAGUAGGUGUAGUCGACCAGUAGUUGAGAAGGACGGUAGAAAGGUGAAAAUGGCAGCGGCAGCGGCAGUAGCGUUGGAAUUACCUCCAGGAUUUAGGUUCCAUCCAACAGACGAGGAG
Molecule: unclassified non-coding RNA, 685 nt
Filed under: Hevea brasiliensis (rubber tree)
Lineage: Eukaryota; Viridiplantae; Streptophyta; Magnoliopsida; Malpighiales; Euphorbiaceae
Source: RNAcentral